UGCAGUCGAACGAUGAACCUGGAGCUUGCUCUGGGGGAUUAGUGGCGAACGGGUGAGUAACACGUGAGUAACCUGCCCUUGACUCUGGGAUAACCUCCGGAAACGGAAGCUAAUACCGGAUAUGACGUACGGAGGCAUCUCCUGUGCGUGGAAAGAAUUUCGGUCAAGGAUGGACUCGCGGCCUAUCAGGUAGUUGGUGAGGUAACGGCUCACCAAGCCUACGACGGGUAGCCGGCCUGAGAGGGUGACCGGCCACACUGGGACUGAGACACGGCCCAGACUCCUACGGGAGGCAGCAGUGGGGAAUAUUGCACAAUGGGCGCAAGCCUGAUGCAGCAACGCCGCGUGAGGGACGACGGCCUUCGGGUUGUAAACCUCUUUUAGUAGGGAAGAAGCGAAAGUGACGGUACCUGCAGAAAAAGCACCGGCUAACUACGUGCCAGCAGCCGCGGUAAUACGUAGGGUGCAAGCGUUGUCCGGAAUUAUUGGGCGUAAAGAGCUCGUAGGCGGUUUGUCGCGUCUGCUGUGAAAACCCGAGGCUCAACCUCGGGCCUGCAGUGGGUACGGGCAGACUAGAGUGCGGUAGGGGAGAAUGGAAUUCCUGGUGUAGCGGUGGAAUGCGCAGAUAUCAGGAGGAACACCGAUGGCGAAGGCAGUUCUCUGGGCCGUAACUGACGCUGAGGAGCGAAAGCGUGGGGAGCGAACAGGAUUAGAUACCCUGGUAGUCCACGCCGUAAACGUUGGGCGCUAGAUGUGGGGACCAUUCCACGGUUUCCGUGUCGCAGCUAACGCAUUAAGCGCCCCGCCUGGGGAGUACGGCCGCAAGGCUAAAACUCAAAGGAAUUGACGGGGGCCCGCACAAGCGGCGGAGCAUGCGGAUUAAUUCGAUGCAACGCGAAGAACCUUACCAAGGCUUGACAUAUACGAGAACGGGCCAGAAAUGGUCAACUCUUUGGACACUCGUAAACAGGUGGUGCAUGGUUGUCGUCAGCUCGUGUCGUGAGAUGUUGGGUUAAGUCCCGCAACGAGCGCAACCCUCGUUCUAUGUUGCCAGCACGUAAUGGUGGGAACUCAUAGGAGACUGCCGGGGUCAACUCGGAGGAAAGGUGGGGGAUGACGUCAAAUCAUCAUGCCCCUUAUGGCUUGGGCUUCACGCAUGCUACAAUGGCCG
RNAcentral lists this ribosomal RNA (1171 nucleotides) under bacterium. Its description in RNAcentral is "bacterial SSU rRNA". It matches the Rfam family "Bacterial small subunit ribosomal RNA", at positions 56 to 1236 of the family's 1533-position model. The record is from RNAcentral.